UACGUAGGGAGCAAGCGUUGUUCGGAUUUACUGGGCGUAAAGGGCGCGUAGGCGGCCUGUCAAGUCAACUGUGAAAUCUCCGGGCUUAACUCGGAACGGUCAGUUGAUACUGUCAGGCUAGAGUGCAGGAGGGGCAAUCGGAAUUCUUGGUGUAGCGGUGAAAUGCGUAGAUAUCAAGAGGAACACCUGAGGUGAAGACGGGUUGCUGGGCUGACACUGACGCUGAGGCGCGAAAGCCAGGGGAGCAAACGGG
RNAcentral lists this ribosomal RNA (253 nucleotides) under uncultured bacterium. RNAcentral's name for it is "partial 16S ribosomal RNA". It matches the Rfam family "Bacterial small subunit ribosomal RNA", at positions 524 to 776 of the family's 1533-position model. The record is from RNAcentral.